AAUUUUGAGCAGUCGCGGUUCAGUCUGUUAGAUUGAGCUGAGGAAAGUCCACGCACGCACAAGCUGCGAUGCUUGUAGUGAUCGUAUUUAGUCUAACAAACUAAAGGAUUUAUAUCACGGCGAAAAAAAUGCUAAGUUUUUUAAAAUAUGCAUGAAUAUUCUGAAAAGUGCCACAGUGACGAAGCGGUAAUGGAAACGUUAUCGGUGGAACGAGGUAAACCCUGCGAGCGUGCAACCCAAACUUGGUGGGGGCGUCUAAACCUAAGAAAAUGAACUAAAGGUUAGAUUGUUAUUUUUAAUAGCAAAGAUAGAUGGCUGCUAAAGGUGAUUUUGCCAAAAUCAUUUGAACAGAACGUGGCUUAUAAAA
RNAcentral lists this RNase P RNA (367 nucleotides) under Lactobacillus sp. ESL0228. Its description in RNAcentral is "RNase P RNA component class B". It matches the Rfam family "Bacterial RNase P class B". From Rfam's summary of the family: Ribonuclease P (RNase P) is a ubiquitous endoribonuclease, found in archaea, bacteria and eukarya as well as chloroplasts and mitochondria. Its best characterised activity is the generation of mature 5'-ends of tRNAs by cleaving the 5'-leader elements of precursor-tRNAs. The record is from RNAcentral. Lineage: Bacteria; Bacillati; Bacillota; Bacilli; Lactobacillales; Lactobacillaceae.